ACGAACGCUGGCGGCAUGCCUCACACAUGUAAGUCGAACGAGACCUUCGGGUCUAGUGGCGCACGGGUGCGUAACGCGUGGGAACCUGCCCUUAGGUUCGGAAUAACUCCCCGAAAGGGGUGCUAAUACCGGAUAAUGUCCUCGGACCAAAGAUUUAUCGCCUUUGGAUGGGCCCGCGUUGGAUUAGCUAGUUGGUAGGGUAAAAGCCUACCAAGGCGACGAUCCAUAGCUGGUCUGAGAGGAUGAUCAGCCACACUGGGACUGAGACACGGCCCAGACCCCUACGGGAGGCAGCAGUGGGGAAUAUUGGACAAUGGGCGAAAGCCUGAUCCAGCAAUGCCGCGUGAGUGAUGAAGGCCUUAGGGUUGUAAAGCUCUUUUACCCGGGAUGAUAAUGACAGUACCGGGAGAAUAAGCUCCGGCUAACUCCGUG
Molecule: ribosomal RNA, 432 nt
Filed under: uncultured bacterium
Lineage: Bacteria
Description: partial 16S ribosomal RNA
Rfam family: Bacterial small subunit ribosomal RNA
Source: RNAcentral